AUUCCAGUGGCGGACAAAAAAAAAAAAAAAACCUGUGCUGUGGUGCAUCUUACAACCAGUCACCAUGGCUGCUCUCACCUUUGCUCACCACAUCCUCCUCUCCAAACCCUCCUCCUUCCUUCAUUCCACCAAAUCCGCACAUGGGUUCACCACCUUCGUCUUCGUAUCCUCACCUUUUAUUCGCAGACACAAAUCCACACAACCAAUAGCUUCUUCACUCCUUGAACUCGGUGGAAUUCAAAUCUCCAAACAAGAUGUGGUUAAGGAUGAACCGACAAAUAAUGUCCCGGAUCUAAUAUUCACUAAACUUGGAUUGCAACUUCAUAGAAGAGACAAUCAUCCCCUUGGGAUCCUCAAGAAUGCAAUAUAUGAGUAUUUUUGACACCAACUAUAACAAUCAGUUUCUUAAGUUUGAUGAUUUGUGCCCUAUCGUUACUACUAAUCAUUUGGGCCCAUAUUCGAGGUGGCAGUUUCAAUCCAUUUAUUUAAACAUUAAUUAUGUAUAAAUUAUUUUUCGAUCAAUGUUGGUUCGGGUCUGAUCAACUCAAUCCAGAUGGAAGGAGUUAGAAUGUUCAGUCCAAAUGAUUGGAAUGAUUCUGGUAAGGAUGGAACUUCGUACGCUGCAGAUGAUCUAAAAGCUUGUCUUGAGGGUUUGGCACGUCACCUUUUCGGUGCUGUUGAAAUGUGAUGGGCCAAAACGAGCUGGCCUAAAACAACUUUUGUCCUAAUCUUAUUAUAUAGUAAUAUACUUUGAAGAACCUGAUUUGACUUCCAUGGCCUCCCCUUGUUGAUGCAGUUUA
Helianthus annuus (common sunflower) is the source of this 800-nucleotide long non-coding RNA. RefSeq lists it as uncharacterized. The transcript has 3 exons. NCBI's taxonomy places the organism in Eukaryota, Viridiplantae, Streptophyta, Magnoliopsida, Asterales, Asteraceae. The record is from RefSeq and is a predicted model, not a curated record.